AGGAUGAACGCUGGCGGCGUGCUUAACACGAUGCAAGUCGAACGGAGUUUUAACGAAGUUUCGGAUGGAGUUAGAACUAGUGGCGGACGGGUGAGUAACGCGUGGGUAACCUGCCUCAUACAGGGGGAUAACAGUUAGAAAUGACUGCUAACACCGCAUAAUAUAGUGAAACCGCAUGAUUUUGCUAUCAAAUAUUUAUAGGUAUGAGAUGGGCCCGCGUCUGAUUAGCUAGUUGGUGGGGUAAAAGCCUACCAAGGCGACGAUCAGUAGCCGGCUUGAGAGAGUGACCGGCCACAUUGGGACUGAGACACGGCCCAAACUCCUACGGGAGGCAGCAGUGGGGAAUAUUGGACAAUGGGGGAAACCCUGAUCCAGCCGACGCCGCGUGAGUGAAGAAGUAUUUCGGUAUGUAAAGCUCUAUCAGCAGGGAAGAUAAUGACAGUACCUGACUAAGAAGCCCCGGCUAACUACGUGCCAGCCGCCGC
This 485-nucleotide ribosomal RNA is filed under the name uncultured bacterium. RNAcentral's name for it is "bacterial SSU rRNA". It matches the Rfam family "Bacterial small subunit ribosomal RNA", at positions 26 to 518 of the family's 1533-position model. The record is from RNAcentral.